This is a long non-coding RNA of Epinephelus fuscoguttatus (brown-marbled grouper), 150 nucleotides long. RefSeq lists it as uncharacterized. The record is from RefSeq and is a predicted model, not a curated record. NCBI's taxonomy places the organism in Eukaryota, Metazoa, Chordata, Actinopteri, Perciformes, Serranidae. The transcript is spliced from 3 exons.
CUUUAUUUUCACCACAGCAAACAAGGUUUUGAACAUCUGGGGAAAAAACUACUGUGGGGACAAGACGCAAUCUUUACAGUCAUCAUUUUGACUUAUUCUAAGAAAAAGGUGCCCUGUGUGGAGAGUUUAAGGUCAUAAUACCACAGACUA